AAGGCCUGGGCUGCCGCCCCUGGGGCUGGUGGCUGGGGAAGGGGCUGCUCUCCUUCCCAUCGCACCAGGCUGUUAGCGUGCCGGGUCCGAAGACCUGUGCUGGUUAAAAGGCUGGUGCGGCAUGGCCAGCGGCCUGGCGGUGGUACAGUCCAGGAGGGUAAUGGGUAUUGGAUUGCUCCCUUAGGUCUGUUCUUGAACCUAAUCCUCAUUAGACUGAAACCCAUUUCAAUUAAGACAGGCUGGGCUCCUCCUUUGUCUUUCUUUUAAUUGGACCGUUCCCGCUGCUAAAUGGGCAGCUUAAGCAUCCCAAAGACCCUGAGAAAAGCCCGGCAUGUCCCCUAAUGGGGUUUGAAAGUGGAGAAAUAACAGCAUAAUCAGUCUCUUCCUCUUUGUGUCAGCCCUUGAUUCACACCGCUUGCCCCCCUCCCCUUCACACCCUUUCACUGAGUGGCUGCUGACAGAUGGGAACAGGACCGCCAUGUCAAUGGGGUUUGUCGGGGGCUUUCAUGGGCCCUGUUGCCAUUCUCUGUCCUUCUUCUUCGUCUACUCUUGGCCUUUGUGCCAAGACUGGGAACAAGCUGGGAAAGCUGAGCCGGUCCUGUAAAUACCUGCCUCCGCUGGAUCAGCUUAGGGCUUAAAGGACAAGACGGGGAAUACUUGGCACAGCUCUUUAUCCCUUCCUCUGCUUGCCUUACUUUCCCUCCUUCAUCCUCUCUUGUUCCUUUUUUUUUAGUAUUUAUAUACCCUGUUUUUCUCUCCCGUGCUCUUUGUAUCUAUCUAUUUUCCCUGCCCCUUUUUCCUCCAGCGGCCUUCCGUAGUCUCCCUCCGCUCUUAUUCUCCUUCCAGUGACCUCUUUGGUGGCCGUCGCCGGUCGGAUUUUGGCUCACCCAGACCUCUCCUCCCAGGCUGCUGUGCAUCACCGGGAGCUUGCAGAAGAUGCGUGACCUGCUUCCAGGGGACCCGAAAUUGAGUGUUAACAGUCAAGAGUGUGUCCUAACCAGCCUCUGCCGCUGGUGACUGCUGGGGAGGGCCCUGGACAUGACCCAAGACCUUCUGGGACAAAAAGGGCUUUGAUCCCAUAUGUCGAUAAGUAAAAACGGCUGAAGACACUCUUGUCGUGCCCCGGAGGCUCCUCUCGUGGCUGGAGGACCAGCUUGGCGCUCGGUGCCGGGGACAUCCUCGAGCACCUCUGGAGCUCCCUGCACGGGGAGGUUCGCUGGCCGGGGAAGCUCGUCGCAGGUUUCUGGGCUGCACUUGGCGUUUGGCCGACUGACGGCUCCUGCCCUUACUCCUCUCUGCCCACCCCCAGGCCAGACUUCCCCUGGGGUUAUGUGUGCUGAGCUAUAAGACAAAAGCCGGUGGGAGGCACCGGGUGUGUGUCAACCUGCUUAACGGCGGACAGGUCACCUCCAGAUUAACUUGCAUAAAUCCCGACUUCAUUAAAGCUGCAAUCCCCUCUUGAGCAGAGAGCUCUGGCGAGGGGAGGCGGGGUGAACGUGCAGCAGUCAGGCUGUCCGUCUGACCCCGGGGUAACUCUGCCUCAUGUUGGUCCCGAGGCAGCGAGGACAAGAUAAAUCUUUCUCCCUGGAGCGUCCCCAAAGAAAGAAUGAAGUUAACGUCUGCCUGGGAGCUGUGGCGAAGGUGUUUGGAGGGAAAAGGAAGAAAGCAGAGCAAUACAAAAGCUGGACAGAGCUGCUCAGUGGAUGCCUGGGUUGCUAAAUGAAGGAUCCGCUUCGCAAUGUCACAGCUGGAAGCAAAGGGAGCUCUCCGGGUCUGCGUGUGAACUCUGCCUGUCUGGCAGAAUACGUUCCUGCCAUCCCACCCACAAAGGAGGAAGAAAAGUGAAAUGUGCAGAAAUCUGGCGUAGUUUUUAGCUUGUUUUGGGAAGACUUCUACCCUCCUUAAACUUUCCCCAGGAGCUGGUUUUUUGAGUAGGUCUCCUCCGCCAUCUCUCUCUCUGUGCAUCUCCUCCAGCAUCUCCCCGCACCUCCUCGCCUGUCUCCUCAAGAGUUUCCUCCCAUCGCGGCUGACUCCUCAAUCUGGCCGUGCUCUGCGGGGCUGAUGGUCCUGCAAGCGAUGGGGCAUUACAUUUGUUUCAGAGCUGACCGGACGCAACUGCGAUGGCAACGUGCAUUUCGUGCCUUCCUCCCGCGCGUCACCUCCCAGCUGCUGAAACCUGCCCCGUAUGUCCAACGCGACGCUCAUCCGCGAGCUAAUCGCGUGCUCAGGUGUGCGCUAACGGAGCGCUCAUGCGUCAGUAAUUGGUCGGUCAUGCAGGUAGUAAUUAGGCGCUCAUGCAAGAGCUGAUUGGGCACUCAUGCAUGAUGUAAUUGGGUGCCCAGGCAUGAUGCUACUGGGCGCGCACGCAUAAAUUAAUUGGGUGCUCAGGUGUGAUGCAAAUGUGCACUCAUACGUGUUCUAAUUAGGAGCUCAGGCAUGAGCUAACAGCUCAUAUGUGAACUUAUUGGGUGCUCAUGUGUGACGUAAUUGAGCAAUCAAACGUAAAUUAGUUGGGUGUUCUUGCAUGAAACUAAUCAGGUGCUGUGUGUGCACUAAUUGGGCCCUCAUGCAUAAAUUAGCUGGGUGGUCAUGCACGAACGUGUUGGGCUCUCAUGCAGGUACAGGAUAGGUGCUCAUGCGUGAACUGAGUGGGUGCUCAUGUGUAAAGGAAUUGGUCUGGGAGGCCAGCUGGGCCUCCUGUUGGGCAUGCUGGGAGUUGUGGUUUUUUCCCGUGGCAGCUGGAGCAGAGGUGCCCAGGGGUGGCUGGAGCGGGUGGGGGCUGCCUGGGAUCCCCUAUAGAGCCCCCCCCCCCCAAUAGGUUCCCCUCCGUGGGUGCCCACAAGCUCUGCAAGGCAGGGGUGGGUGCGUGGCAUGCAAGAGAUUUCAGCCCCCAGAGCAGCAGCUGGUCAAGCUUCAAGCGACAAUUUCCAAGUGGGGCUUGAGCCGUGCCCCGGACUGCCCUGCUCCGUGGCACGCUCCUGAGCCUGAUGGAGAAGUCAGAUCCCAGCUGUAAGUUUGGGUAUCGCUUCUUCAUUAAUAGAUACAUAAACAAGCUCAUGCGUAUGCAAGAUACAUCGGUAACCACCGAUGACUUUGCUGUAUUCAGGCAUCUGUUAUUAAAAAUGUUCUCUGCAGAAACACACAAGUAUGGAUGAGGGAUAAAUCAGGUAUGUCUCUACUGCUCUGUUCUAAUGUAUAUAAUCUUACCUCUGUGCAUGCACAUACCAAUAAAUUUGAAACCACUGUGGCCACAGCCAUACCAAGUCGUCCUGCUAUUGUUCGACGAACAUGAUCUGCACUAAAGCUAUGCCCAGCUCUCGGUGUGGGCUGCUGUAUGGUGAUACACCGCACAGGCAGCUCAAACCAAGACACUGGCACUUGGGGGGAUGCAGAGAAAAAAACGGUAAAUUACAUUUAAUUAAUGUAUAAUUAAUGCACUUUCUGGCUUUCUGUGUUUCCGUGCAGGGCCCUGGAUUUGCCUGCAUGACCGGCACUUGGUUGCUGCUGCGGUUACUCAAGCUAGUUAAUUCAGAACUCGGCCGGGGGAGUGAAGAGCAGAGCGGCGGGGCAGGGUGUCCGCCUCAGCCCAGGCUAUUGUGAGUUUAUGACACCUAGCCUUAGAAAAGCACAUUUUUAACCCAGCUGCCGCUAUAACUUAUUGCAAUGCCUUGUUAUAGCUUGGGAGCAAAGAGGGAGGGACGAGAAAGGAGGUCACGCAAAGGGUGCUGCGUGUCCCAGAAGGGACCCUCAAAAAAAGCCAGAGGGGGAAAAGGAUGCGGGCUCCCAUCUCUUUCUCGUUUGGCUCUUCCCACAAGCGUGGUAUCUAAACGAUGCAUUCAAGACUGAGGCGUCCGAAGGCACGCCGGGGACAGAGCAACGAGACAGACGUAGUCCUUCUCGCCGCCUAAAAGCGCGUACGUUCUUACGCUCCGAAGGCAGAUUCAAAUGCAGGCGGCUAACGAGGAGGAGGGCUAACAGCCCCACGGAGUCGAGGUCCCCAUGUCAUCAUUUUUUUGUUGUUGUUGCCGGGGCACUAGGUGAGAUCCUGGAGGGUGAGCUGGCUGCCCGGUGCGGUGCUCCAAGGGUGCUAACCCACGCAGCCCGCAGCUGCACCCUGGGGUGCCCACCGCCUCGUGCGCAGAAGCAGGUAGGCACCCUGCCCCGGUGCAAGAACAGCCGAGGAAAGCAAACUCCAUCCCAGGCGGGAGGAGGGUCGCUGGGUGCUUUUUUCCCAGGCUCUCAGUGCUCGUGUCUGGAGCGGAUCCUUAGCGGCUGUGAAAUAAAGCACUGGUGGAGUGUGGGGCAUCCCCCACGGACAUCCUGACCCCAGGGCUGGGCAGCCGAAAUCCCUCCUUGCCCCGACACGCCGUUCUGCACCGCACGUUCUUGCGGCAGGUAGGAUGGAGGAAGCUGCCUAUUAAAUCCUGCUCCAAAGCUCUCAAAAGUUGAAGCAAAGGCUCCUGCUACCUCCUCACGUGCCUCAAAGCUUUAACCUCCUGCUCCUCAGAGGCAGCGUGCCCAGGCAGACAGAUCGGCUGGCUGCACGGACAGGCUGAUGGUGCCCUCGUGUCCCUUCGCUUGGGGGAGAGAUGCCUGUCCUGCCCUUUGGCUGCCGCUUUGGUCGCUCCCAGAUGCUGUACCGUACUGCAAAAAAGGGGAACAGGCAGCAAUACCCCCACGCCUCCUGCAACACGUCUCCCACCCCCCAAAAAUGGAGAGAAAAGACUGAAGGGAAGCAAAACAUUCCUGCCAAAUGAGCGUCCCUCUGCGGUCCUCCAGCCAGGGGCACCCACCUCCACCGGGGACGGGGCACAAAGGGAGAGCAACUGCAUCGCUGGCUCUUCUCCCUUGUGGUCCCGGGCAGAUGAACCUCGGAGGUGCCCGGGCACUCAACCGGGUGGGUGCUGGCCGAAAGCGGCCAGCCCCUCUGAGCGGGGAGAGGGAUCGCUCCCCACGGAAGGGCAUCCGGGGGUGUUCGGCCUGUUUCUCGGCAAUGGAGCCACCCCUGCGGGGCAGUGCUCCCCUGCCCAGCCCCAUCCCUUGCCACCUCCCUUUUUGUCCUUCCUCCCUUUUUGUUAUUUGAGAAAUGAAUUUUAAAAAAUGGAAUCAGUUUUCCCUUUGGGGGGAUUAGAGCCCUCAGCAUUCAAGCUCCCAGCGCAGGAAACAGUGGCUUUUCUUCUGGUGCAACUUGGAAAGACAUGGCUCUCUGUUCUCCCUGAAAGCCCCUCGCACUGAAUGACCCACAGGCCCUGAAUGAAGUGCCUCUCAAUUAAAAGUUUCCCAUUGAUGCUGGUUGAAUGAGACCUUGCUGCGGAAUUCACCCUGGCUGAAUGGCCCGGGCCUUCAUCAAAUAUUAAGGGGCCAAUAGAUUUCCCACAAUAUUUGUACACCUUCCUUUGUGGGGAUUUUUCCCUCCAUUGAACCAGAAACCGUUAACACAUCCGCUCCCGACGUGCCCCCUUCUGCUGCUCAUUAGGGGCCGUGGCAGGGACGCCCGCUGCUGCGUGCCACCCCCAGGACGGGCCGGCCAGCGGGGCACAGGACCGGCCACCUGCUCGUAUUCAUCCUCCGGCGAGGCCAAGCCGAGCUUGAAAUCCCACGGAGAAACGCAGGAUGGAGGGAGACGGGAGCGGGCAGCGCUCCUACCCAGCCCUCACCUGCGCUUGGGGAAAAAUCCGUCCCCUCCCAAAAGCCGGGGGUCACCUGGCCGGAGAGGGGGCUUUGGUGGCAUUGCCCCUCGCUCUCUCCUGGUGGUCCCGGGGAUAACGCAGGGAAAGGAGAGCCUCCCCUCCCGUUCCCCUUUCCCGGCACAAAGGGAAAGUGGUCUUAAGUCCGGGGCUCCCUUCUGCCCGGGGACAAAAGCUCUGGGACACUUUAACAGCACCGAGGGCCUCGC
Molecule: long non-coding RNA, 5896 nt
Organism: Aquila chrysaetos chrysaetos
Lineage: Eukaryota; Metazoa; Chordata; Aves; Accipitriformes; Accipitridae
Exons: 3
Source: RefSeq, a predicted model, not a curated record